Molecule: ribosomal RNA, 253 nt
Filed under: uncultured bacterium
Lineage: Bacteria
Description: partial 16S ribosomal RNA
Rfam family: Bacterial small subunit ribosomal RNA
Source: RNAcentral
UACGGAGAGUGCAAGCAUUAAUCGGAAUUAUUGGGCGUAAAGGGCGCGUAGGCGGGAUAGCAAGUCAGAUGUGAAAUUCCGGAGCUCAACUUCGGAGCUGCAUUUGAAACUACUAAUCUAGAGGGUUGACGGAGAAAACGGAAUUCCACGUGUAGCGGUGAAAUGCGUAGAUAUGUGGAAGAACACCUGUGGCGAAAGCGGUUUUCUAGUUGAUACCUGACGCUGAGGCGCGAGAGCAAGGGGAGCAAACAGG